Molecule: small nuclear RNA, 105 nt
Organism: Zalophus californianus (California sea lion)
Lineage: Eukaryota; Metazoa; Chordata; Mammalia; Carnivora; Otariidae
Source: Ensembl
GCUUGCUUCAGCACUGCAUAUACUAAAAUUGGAAUGAUACAGAGAAGGUUAACAUUGCCCCUAUAUAAGGAGGACAUGCAAAUUUGUGAAGUGUUCCAUAUUUAA